GCCGGGGUAGCCAACUUGGUGACGGCGGAGGUUUGAAAAACCUUUCAUGUCGGUUCGAUUCCGACCCCCGGCA
Molecule: transfer RNA, 73 nt
Filed under: Patescibacteria group bacterium
Lineage: Bacteria
Description: tRNA-Phe
Rfam family: tRNA
About the family: Transfer RNA (tRNA) molecules are approximately 80 nucleotides in length. Their secondary structure includes four short double-helical elements and three loops (D, anti-codon, and T loops). Further hydrogen bonds mediate the characteristic L-shaped molecular structure. tRNAs have two regions of fundamental functional importance: the anti-codon, which is responsible for specific mRNA codon recognition, and the 3' end, to which the tRNAs corresponding amino acid is attached (by aminoacyl-tRNA synthetases). tRNAs cope with the degeneracy of the genetic code in two manners: having more than one tRNA (with a specific anti-codon) for a particular amino acid; and 'wobble' base-pairing, i.e. permitting non-standard base-pairing at the 3rd anti-codon position.
Source: RNAcentral